Molecule: ribosomal RNA, 238 nt
Filed under: uncultured bacterium
Lineage: Bacteria
Description: partial 16S ribosomal RNA
Rfam family: Bacterial small subunit ribosomal RNA
Source: RNAcentral
UGGCGGACGGGUGAGUAACGCGUGGGUAACCUGCCUCAUACAGGGGGAUAACAGUUAGAAAUGACUGCUAAUACCGCAUAAGACCACAGUACCGCAUGGUACAGGGGUAAAAACUCCGGUGGUAUGAGAUGGACCCGCGUCUGAUUAGGUAGUUGGUGGGGUAACGGCCCACCAAGCCGACGAUCAGUAGCCGACCUGAGAGGGUGACCGGCCACAUUGGGACUGAGACACGGCCCAA